GUGCAGCAGUCGCGAAAAUUCUGCAAUGCGCGAAAGCGUGACAGCGGGACUUCGAGUGACCACACUGUGGUCUUUUGCCAAGUGUAAACAGCUUGGAGAAUAAGGGCGGGGUAAGGCCGGUGCCAGCCGCCGCGGUAAUACCGGCCGCCCGAGUAGUGACCACUAUUAUUGGGCCUAAAGCGUCCGUAGCCGGUUUUGUAAGUUUCUGGGUAAAUCCCACAGCUUAACUGCGGGAAUUCCAGAAAUACUGCAGAGCUAGGGGCCGGGAGACGCAGAAGGUACUCCUGGGGUAGGGGUGAAAUCCUAUAAUCCCGGGAAGACCACCAGUGGCGUAGGCGGUCGGCUAGCACGCGCUCGACAGUGAGGGACGAAAGCUGGGGUAGCGAACCGGAGUAGAUACCCGUGUAGUCC
RNAcentral lists this ribosomal RNA (411 nucleotides) under uncultured archaeon. RNAcentral describes it as "partial 16S ribosomal RNA". It matches the Rfam family "Archaeal small subunit ribosomal RNA", at positions 330 to 747 of the family's 1478-position model. The record is from RNAcentral.